This is a long non-coding RNA of Ictalurus punctatus (channel catfish), 441 nucleotides long. The record is from Ensembl. NCBI's taxonomy places the organism in Eukaryota, Metazoa, Chordata, Actinopteri, Siluriformes, Ictaluridae.
AAGUAAGACUGCAUGUAACCAGAAGGCUGCAUUGUACAUAGCAGAACCUGAUAGAGUGGAAAAAAUAAACCGUAUGAACUGGGAAAUAUAGCAGUAUUAACAAGAAGCAGGCAGUGUACAUGGCAAGGAUAAAUAUCCUGAAAUUCCUAAAUAGAAGAAGAAUAGUAGAAGAAUACAAACAAAAACAAUAGUGUUUCAGCACCAUCAGUGCUUGACCCUUCAACUAAGAUUGAGAUUGAGAACCAUAUUCAUUCUUCAUUUUCUUUGCUCUACUGAAGCUGUAACCAGAGGUCCGUGACCGUGACCAUGACCAUGACCAUGUCCGUGACCAUGACCCUUGCCUUGCCCUUGUCCUGGUCCUUUUCCCUUGCCUUCACCUUUGCCUUCACCCUUGCCUUCACCCUUGCCUUCACCCUGGCAUUGUUUGCUCUUAUCGCACUG